CCUACGGGAGGCAGCAGUGCGGCAUAUUGGUCAAUGGACGCAAGUCUGAACCAGCCAAGUAGCGUGCAGGAAGACUGCCCUACGAGUUGUAAACUUCUUUUGUACAAGGGUAAACGCAGACACGCGUACCUGUCUGAAUGUAUUGUAUGAAUAAGGAUCGGCUAACUCCGUGCCAGCAGCCGCGGUAAUACGGAGGAUGCGAGCGUUAUCCGGAUUUAUUGGGUUUAAAGGGUGCGUAGAUGGGCUGAUAAGUAAGAUGUGAAAUCCUGAGGCUCAACAUCAGAAUUGCAUCUGAUACUGUUCGGCUUGAGAGUAGGUGCGGUAGGCGGAAGUCAUGGUGUAGCGGUGAAAUGCUUAGAGAUCAUACAGAACACCGAUUGCGAAGGCAGCUUACCAAGCUACUACUGACGUUGAGGCACGAAAGUGUGGGUAGCAAACAGGAUUAGAUACCCGAGUAGUC
RNAcentral lists this ribosomal RNA (460 nucleotides) under uncultured bacterium. Its description in RNAcentral is "partial 16S ribosomal RNA". It matches the Rfam family "Bacterial small subunit ribosomal RNA", at positions 338 to 795 of the family's 1533-position model. The record is from RNAcentral.